RNAcentral lists this ribosomal RNA (492 nucleotides) under uncultured bacterium. Its description in RNAcentral is "partial 16S ribosomal RNA". It matches the Rfam family "Bacterial small subunit ribosomal RNA", at positions 29 to 507 of the family's 1533-position model. The record is from RNAcentral.
AGUGAACGCUGGCGGUAGGCCUAACACAUGCAAGUCGAACGGCAGCACAGUAAGAGCUUGCUCUUACGGGUGGCGAGUGGCGGACGGGUGAGGAAUACAUCGGAAUCUACUUUUUCGUGGGGGAUAACGUAGGGAAACUUACGCUAAUACAGCAUACGACCUACGGGUGAAAGCAGGGGAUCUUCGGACCUUGCGCGAAUGAAUGAGCCGAUGUCGGAUUAGCUAGUUGGCGGGGUAAAGGCCCACCAAGGCGACGAUCCGUAGCUGGUCUGAGAGGAUGAUCAGCCACACUGGAACUUAGACACGGUCCAGAGUCCUACGGUAGGCAGCAGUGUGGAAUAUUAGACAAUGGGCGCAAGCCUGAUCCAGCCAUACCGCGUGGGUGAAGAAGGCCUUCGGGUUGUAAAGCCCUUUUGUUGGGAAAGAAAAGCAGCAGCUUAAUACCCCGCUGUUCUGACGGUACCCAAAGAAUAAGCACCGGCUAACUUCGUG